AGCUCAGCUGGAUAGAGCACCAGCCUCCGAAGCUGGUUUUACCUAUCCGCGACUGUCCGCCA
RNAcentral lists this transfer RNA (62 nucleotides) under Planctomycetota bacterium. RNAcentral describes it as "tRNA-OTHER". The record is from RNAcentral. Lineage: Bacteria; Pseudomonadati; Planctomycetota.